UGCAAGUCGAGCGGGGGAAGGUAGCUUGCUACUGGACCUAGCGCGGACGGGUGAUGAGUAAUGUUUAGGAAUCUGCCUAUUAGUGGGGGACAAACAUCUCGAAAGGGAUGCUAAUACCGCGCAUACGUCCUACGGGAGAAAGCAGGGGAUCUUCGGACCUUGCGCUAAUAGAUGAGCCUAAGUAGGAUUAGCUAGUUGGUGGGGUAAAGGCCUACCAAGGCGACGAUCUGUAGCGGGUCUGAGAGGAUGAUCCGCCACACUGGGACUGAGACACGGCCCAGACUCCUACGGGAGGCAGCAGCAGUGGGGAAUAUUGGACAAUGGGGGGAACCCUGAUCCAGCCAUGCCGCGUGUGUGAAGAAGAAGGCCUUAUGGUUGUAAAGCACUUUAAGCGAGGAGGAGGCUACUCAGUUAAUACCUAGAGAUAAUAGUGGACGUUACUCGCAGAAUAAGCACCGGCUAACUCUGUGUCCAGCAGCCGCGGUAAUACAGAGGGUCCGAGCGUUAAUCGGAUUUACUUUCGUAAAGCGUGCGUAGGCGGCUUAUUAUUAAGUCGGAUGUGAAAUCCCCGAGCUUAACUUGGGAUUGCAUUCGAUACUGGUGACCUACUAGAGUAUGGGAGAGGAUGGUAGAAUUCCAGGUGUAGCGGUGAAAUGCGUAGAGAUCUGGAGGAGGAAUACCGAUGGCGAAGGCAGCCAUCUGGCCUAAUACUGACGCUGAGGUACGAAAGCAUGGGGGGGAGCAAACAGGAUUAGAUACCCUGGUAGUCCAUGCCGUAAACGAUGUCUACUAGCCGUCGUUGGGGCCUUUGAGGCUUUAGUGGCGCAUGCUAACGACGAUAAGUAGACCGCCUGGGGAGUACGGCGGUCGCAAGACUAAACUCAAAUGAAUUGACGGGGGCCCGCACAAGCGGUGGAGCAUGUGGUGGUUUAAUUCGAUGCAACGCGAAGAACCUUACCUGGCCUUGACUACUAGAAACUUUCCAGCGAUAUGGAUUGGUGCCUUCGGGAAUCUAGAUACAGGUGCUGCAUGGCUCAGCUCGUGUCGUGGUGAGAUGUUCCCUUAAGUCCCGCAACGAGCGCAACCCUUUUCCUUACUUGCCAGCAUUUCGGAUGGGAACUUUAAGGAUACUGCCAUGGACAAACUGGAGGAAGGCGGGGACGACGUCGUCAAGUCAUCAUGGCCCUUACGGCCAGGGCUACACACGUGCUACAAUGGUCGGUACAAAGGACCGUUGCUACACAGCGAUGUGAUGCUAAUCUCAAAAGCCGAUCGUAGUCCGGAUUGGAGUCUUCUGCAACUCGACUCCAUGAAGUCGGAAUCGCUAGUAAUCGCGGAUCAGCCUGCCCGCGGUGAAUACGUUCCCGGGCCCGUACACACCGCCCCGUCACACCAUGGGAGUUUGUUGCACCAGAAGAAGUAGCUGGCCUAACUGCAAAGAGGGCGGUUACCACGGUGUGGCCGAUGACUGGGGUGAA
RNAcentral lists this ribosomal RNA (1478 nucleotides) under Acinetobacter sp. SRR-55. Its description in RNAcentral is "16S ribosomal RNA". It matches the Rfam family "Bacterial small subunit ribosomal RNA". The record is from RNAcentral. Lineage: Bacteria; Pseudomonadati; Pseudomonadota; Gammaproteobacteria; Moraxellales; Moraxellaceae.